RNAcentral lists this ribosomal RNA (431 nucleotides) under uncultured bacterium. RNAcentral's name for it is "partial 16S ribosomal RNA". It matches the Rfam family "Bacterial small subunit ribosomal RNA", at positions 29 to 507 of the family's 1533-position model. The record is from RNAcentral.
AACGAACGCUGGCGGCAGGCCUAACACAUGCAAGUCGAGCGCCCCGCAAGGGGAGCGGCGGACGGGUGAGUACCGCGUGGGAAUAUGCCCUUUGCUACGGAAUAGUCUCGGGAAACUGGGGGUAAUACCGUAUACGCCCUUUGGGGGAAAGAUUUAUCGGCGAAGGAUUGGCCCGCGUUGGAUUAGGUAGUUGGUGGGGUAAUGGCCUACCAAGCCGACGAUCCAUAGCUGGUUUGAGAGGAUGAUCAGCCACACUGGGACUGAGACACGGCCCAGACUCCUACGGGAGGCAGCAGUGGGGAAUCUUAGACAAUGGGGGCAACCCUGAUCUAGCCAUGCCGCGUGAGUGAUGGAGGCCUUAGGGUUGUAAAGCUCUUUCAGCUGGGAAGAUAAUGACGGUACCAGCAGAAGAAGCCCCGGCUAACUCCGUG